Molecule: unclassified non-coding RNA, 227 nt
Filed under: soil metagenome
Description: partial internal transcribed spacer 1
Source: RNAcentral
CAGAUGACCCGGAGGCGGAUAGUAUCCGCAGCCAUAAGGUCGAUCUACUGUUACCGUAGUCAUGCUCCGGCAUGGCUUCGUGUCCACCCAUUGUGAACCUUUUUAUUAUGCUUCGGCAGCUCUUUGCGUCUAAACAGCGUGGAGGUAAGGCUGUCGAUAGCUCAUAUUAAAACUAGUUUUGAAUAUCAUGAUGUCUGAAGCUUUUUGAGAAAUCAAAAUACAAGUUA